Molecule: long non-coding RNA, 1066 nt
Filed under: Equus asinus (donkey)
Lineage: Eukaryota; Metazoa; Chordata; Mammalia; Perissodactyla; Equidae
Description: lncRNA (ENSEASG00005036509.1)
Source: RNAcentral
GUGUUUUAGGGAACAGGCAGGAUAAGGAAGAGACGCGAGGUCACAGCAGGACUGAGGAAUGAAGAUAAUAGUGACAACUAACAUUAACCGCCUGACUGCAGUAAGUCAGGCACUGGAUAAGCACCUGACACUCAUUUAUCCUGUGGACUCCUCAGGAGGAUGAGUGGCAUUGGUUUUCACGUGGUCCACCUGAGGAAACCACAGCAUGUGUUUCAGAGCCGGGAUUCAAACCCAGGUAGGCUGACCCGCAGCCCACGCACGCACUUAACCUGCCACCACCUGUGUAGAAACCAAGUGAGAAGGCACAAAAGCAGCAACGAGCAGGCCCAACUUUGAGGAAAUGAGGAGGAGGGAAGGUCGACUACCUACUGAGUGCCUGUCCCGUCACAGGCCCUCCCUAGUCGUCAAAUUAAGCUUGUUCAAUGAAUGAAACAAGGAGGCGUUAGACUGUGGUGGCUCUAAGGCCGAGGCGGCUAGGUCUGCCCUGCCAAGUUCUCUGGGAAUCCCUCACACUGUGCCUCAUUUGUGUUCACAAACAAGUGUCUCCCAUGGACUUUUUCUCCUGCUCUUUUCCCACUUCCAGAAGCUGACUGGCUUACAUUUCCCACAUCUGACGAUGCGCCUUCAUGACCCAUCAUGUCUGUGAGGCUCCCAGAGCUAUUUGCCGACACUUGAAGACCCAGAGUAGCACUCGCUUCUGUAAGUUUACUAUUAGCGGAAAAUACUCUUUAUUCCGUGGUGAUCAUGACACCUUCAAGAAGACACCUUAACGGAAAAAAAGGAACCUAGGUUGUUCUAGGAACGCUAUGCUUAUGUGCAGGGACAAUGCCUUCUUGCCACAGCGACCGCUUGCUUUCGCAUAGAAUGGCUCCUGAAUUAAGAAUACUGUUCGCAGGGCCACCCCGCCGGGAGCAAGGCUGUGACAGCCGCGGAACUGCUUACCUGCGGGGAGAGUCAGCUUGUGCGAUGUUCUCCCUGCACCAGAAGGAGAAAACUAAUCCCAGCCAGUUCUAUUUAAAUGAAUAAUGAUCUGGGGUCACUUCGCAUCCUGUGGAGGUUAACGACU